GUACUCACUUGAGCAGCACAUGUACUAAAAUUGGAAUAAUACAGAGAUUAGCAUGGCCCCU
RNAcentral lists this small nuclear RNA (61 nucleotides) under Propithecus coquereli (Coquerel's sifaka). Lineage: Eukaryota; Metazoa; Chordata; Mammalia; Primates; Indriidae. The record is from RNAcentral.